Molecule: ribosomal RNA, 253 nt
Filed under: uncultured bacterium
Lineage: Bacteria
Description: partial 16S ribosomal RNA
Rfam family: Bacterial small subunit ribosomal RNA
Source: RNAcentral
UACGGGGGGGGCAAGCGUUGUUCGGAAUUACUGGGCGUAAAGGGCUCGUAGGCGGCCAACUAAGUCGGACGUGAAAUCCCUCGGCUUAAUCGGGGAACUGCGUCCGAUACUGGAUGGCUUGAGUUUGGGAGAGGGAUGCGGAAUUCCAGGUGUAGCGGUGAAAUGCGUAGAUAUCUGGAGGAACACCGGUGGCGAAGGCGGCAUCCUGGACCAACACUGACGCUGAUGAGCGAAAGCCAGGGGAGCAAACGGG